UGAUUGAGUCUAUUACGCGCUGCUUUC
Molecule: small RNA, 27 nt
Filed under: Bombyx mori (domestic silkworm)
Lineage: Eukaryota; Metazoa; Arthropoda; Insecta; Lepidoptera; Bombycidae
Description: ovarian small RNA-33098
Source: RNAcentral